Molecule: ribosomal RNA, 1443 nt
Filed under: Chromohalobacter canadensis
Lineage: Bacteria; Pseudomonadati; Pseudomonadota; Gammaproteobacteria; Oceanospirillales; Halomonadaceae
Description: bacterial LSU rRNA
Rfam family: Bacterial large subunit ribosomal RNA
Source: RNAcentral
CCUGGUGAAAGCCGGUAGGCCGAGGGUUCAGGGAAAUCCGGAUCCUCAAGGCCGAGAGGCGAGACGAACAGACUACGGUCUGGAAGUCAUCGAUGCCACGCUUCCAGGAAAAGCCUCUAAGCUUCAGAUCACAUGCGACCGUACCCCAAACCGACACAGGUGGUCAGGGUGAGAAUCCCAAGGCGCUUGAGAGAACUCGGGUGAAGGAACUAGGCAAAAUGGCACCGUAACUUCGGGAGAAGGUGCGCCGGCAUAGGGUGACGGACGUCGCGUCCUGAGCUCGAGCCGGUCGAAGAUACCAGGUGGCUGCAACUGUUUAUUAAAAACACAGCACUCUGCUAACGCGUAAGCGGACGUAUAGGGUGUGACGCCUGCCCGGUGCCGGAAGGUUAAUUGAUGGCGUUAGCUCCGGCGAAGCGCUUGAUCGAAGCCCCGGUAAACGGCGGCCGUAACUAUAACGGUCCUAAGGUAGCGAAAUUCCUUGUCGGGUAAGUUCCGACCUGCACGAAUGGCGUAAUGAUGGCCACGCUGUCUCCACCCGAGACUCAGUGAAAUUGAAAUCGCCGUGAAGAUGCGGUGUCCCCGCGGCUAGACGGAAAGACCCCGUGAACCUUUACUAUAGCUUCACACUGGAUGCUGAUGUUGCUUGUGUAGGAUAGCUGGGAGGCUUGGAACCUGGGACGCCAGUCCCAGGGGAGCCACCCUUGAAAUACCAGCCUGGCAUCAUUGGCGUUCUAACUUGGGCCCGUUAUCCGGGUCGAGGACAGUGUGUGGUGGGUAGUUUGACUGGGGCGGUCUCCUCCCAAAGCGUAACGGAGGAGCACGAAGGUACCCUCAGCACGGUUGGAAAUCGUGCAUCGAGUGCAAGAGCAUAAGGGUGCUUGACUGCGAGACAGACACGUCGAGCAGGUGCGAAAGCAGGUUCUAGUGAUCCGGUGGUUCUGUAUGGAAGGGCCAUCGCUCAACGGAUAAAAGGUACUCCGGGGAUAACAGGCUGAUACCGCCCAAGAGUUCACAUCGACGGCGGUGUUUGGCACCUCGAUGUCGGCUCAUCACAUCCUGGGGCUGAAGUCGGUCCCAAGGGUAUGGCUGUUCGCCAUUUAAAGUGGUACGCGAGCUGGGUUUAGAACGUCGUGAGACAGUUCGGUCCCUAUCUGCCGUGGGCGUUGGAGAUUUGAGAAGGGCUGCUCCUAGUACGAGAGGACCGGAGUGGACGCACCUCUGGUGUUCCGGUUGUCACGCCAGUGGCAUUGCCGGGUAGCUAUGUGCGGACGGGAUAACCGCUGAAAGCAUCUAAGCGGGAAGCCCCCUUCAAGAUGAGAUCUCCCCGAGGCCUCGAGCCUCCUGAAGGGCCCAGCGAGACCAGCUGGUUGAUAGGCACGGUGUGGAAGCGCUGCAAGGCGUUGAGCUAACGUGUACUAAUGGCCCGUGAGGCUUGACCAU